Molecule: ribosomal RNA, 650 nt
Filed under: uncultured bacterium
Lineage: Bacteria
Description: bacterial SSU rRNA
Rfam family: Bacterial small subunit ribosomal RNA
Source: RNAcentral
GGGCUUCGGCCCUGAGUAAAGUGGCGCACGGGUGAGUAACACGUGAAUUAUCUACCUCCGAGUGGGGAAUAACUUCGGGAAACCGAGGCUAAUACCGCAUAACACUUACGAGUCAAAGCAGUAAUGCGCUUGGAGAGGAGUUCGCGGCAGAUUAGUUAGUUGGCGGGGUAAUGGCCCACCAAGACGAUGAUCUGUAUCCGGCCUGAGAGGGCGCACGGACACACUGGAACUGAAACACGGUCCAGACUCCUACGGGAGGCAGCAGUGGGGAAUUUUGCGCAAUGGGGGAAACCCUGACGCAGCAACGCCGCGUGGAGGAUGAAGUCUCUUGGGACGUAAACUCCUUUCGAUCGGGACGAUUAUGACGGUACCGGAAGAAGAAGCCCCGGCUAACUUCGUGCCAGCAGCCGCGGUAAUACGAGGGGGGCAAGCGUUGUUCGGAAUUAUUGGGCGUAAAGGGCGCGUAGGCGGUUUGGCAAGUCUAGUGUGAAAUCUUCGGGCUCAACUCGAAGUCUGCACUGGAAACUGCCGGGCUUGAGUAUGGGAGAGGUGAGUGGAAUUUCCGGUGUAGCGGUGAAAUGCGUAGAUAUCGGAAGGAACACCUGUGGCGAAAGCGGCUCACUGGACCAUAACUGACGCUGAGGCGCGAA